This 330-nucleotide ribosomal RNA is filed under the name Copepoda environmental sample. Its description in RNAcentral is "SSU rRNA". It matches the Rfam family "Eukaryotic small subunit ribosomal RNA", at positions 239 to 565 of the family's 1831-position model. The record is from RNAcentral. Lineage: Eukaryota; Metazoa; Arthropoda; Copepoda.
CCCCCUGGCGACUCUGAAUAACUUUUUGCGGAUCGCACGGCCUCGUGCCGGCGACGCGUCCUCCCGAGGUGUGCCCUAUCAACUGUCGACUGUGGCAUCGACGCCCACAGUGGUCUUGACGGGUGACGGGGAAUCGGGGUUCGGUUCCGGAGAGGGAGCCUGAGAGACGGCUACCACUUCUAAGGAAGGCAGCAGGCGCGCAAAUUACCCACUGGCCGCGGGCCGAGGUAGUGACGAAAAAUAACGACGCCGGACUCAUCCGAGGCCCGGCGAUCGGAAUGGGCACAGCCUAAAUCCUUUAGCGAGGAACCACUGGAGGGCAAGUCUGGU